GGCCCCUCUCACCCCGUGUCCCCCCUCGUCCCCAGAACAUGCCGCAGCCCAUCCCCUACCCGCAGAGCCACCUGCCGAUGAUGGAGCAGCCGCCAACCUUCCACCCGACCGUUCCCUUCGUGGCCACCAUCCCGGGGGGGCUCAUGCCCAAGAAAACCAUUGUGGUGAAGGGCUACAUCCCGCCCGAUGCCAACAGCUCUCCAUCCGCUGCGGGAACCAGCGCUUCAAGGUGUUCGCCCAGGGGCAGCCGCUCUUCACCUUCGCCCACCGGGUGCCGCCCGGGCCCCACGUCGACACCCUGGAGGUGGAGGGCGACGUCGUCCUCUCCUACGUCCACUUCUGAGCCCCCCCAGCAGCCCCACGGCGCAGCCCCCAGCCAGCCCCAGAGCUCGCCCCAGCCCCAGGGUUCACCCCCUAGCCAGCCCCACAGUUCAGCCCAUAGCCAGCCCCAUAGCUCACCCCAGCCCCAUAGAGCAGCCCAGAAUCAGCCCCGCAGCCAGCCCCAUACCUGGCCCCAUAGCCAGGCACACAGCUCACCCCAUAGCCGGCCCCAUAGCUCACCCCAUAGGGUGUCACAUCACCUGCCCCAUAGCCAGCCCCACAGCUUGCCCUAUAGCACAGUCCAUAGCCUGCCCCAUAGCCCACCCCAUAGCCAGCUCCAUAGCUCACCCCAUAGCCGGCCCCAUAGCCCACCCCAUAGCAUGUCACAUCACCUGCCCCAUAGCCAGCCCCACAGCUUGCCCUAUAGCACAGUCCAUAGCCUGCCCCAUAGCCCACCCCAUAGCCAGCUCCAUAGCUCACCCCAUAGCCGGCCCCAUAGCCCACCCCAUAGCAUGUCACAUCACCUGCCCCAUAGCCAGCCCCACAGCUUGCCCUAUAGCACAGUCCAUAGCCUGCCCCAUAGCCCACCCCACAGCUCUCCCCAUAGCCUGCCCAUAACUCACCCCAUAGCGCAGCCCCACAGCAGCUCCAUAGCCCACCCCAUAGCCGGCCCCACGGCAACGCCAUUGCCUGCGUCCGCUGCUGACCCCAAUAAAGCUGUCGUUGCACACGCGCCUCCACCAGUGCUGCCUCCCUGCCCCACGGCCGGGCCCGUGUCCGUCCAACGCCAAGGGGGGGGCUGGGGACAGGGAUGGAUGUGGGGACAGAUGUGGGGCCGGGGUAACCCUGCCCCCAGCCCCCGUGUGGCCCCCAUGGUCCCGGCCCCAUCAUGGCCCCAUGGCCAUCCCAGCCCCACCAUCCUGUUCCCCAUCAUGUCCCCAUGCUCCCAUCCCUGUCCCCAGCCCGGCUCCAGGGUCCCAUCCUUGUCCUUGUCCCCAUCCCGGCUCCACAGCCUGGCCCCGUGGUCCCAUCCCUGUCUGUGUCCCCCAUCCCAUCCCCAUGGUCCUGUCCCCAUCUCCAGCACAGGUCCACGGUCCCAUCCCUGUCCCGCUCUCCAUCCUGGCCCUGUACCUGUCCCCAUGGUCCCGUCACCAUCCCCAUCCUUGUCCCUGUCCUGUCCCCAUGCUCCUGUCCCCACAGUCUCAUCCCUGUCCCCAUCCCUGUCCCCAUGGUCCUGUCCCCACAGUCUCAUCCCUGUCCCCAUGGUCUCAUCCCCAUCCCUGUCCCCAUGGUCCUGUCCCCACAGUCUCAUCCCUGUCCCCAUCCCCAUGGUCUCAUCCCCAUCCUGGUCCCCUCCCCGCCAGCGGCUCCCCCCCCUCCGCCAACCCCCGAGACAGAGACGCGGCCCAUCGCCCUUAAAAAUAUGACACGUUUUAUUGCCCUGCGCCGGGGAGCGCGGGGGCCCCGCACGGCGUCCCCAACGUCCCCGCGCGUCCCCAGGCGUCCCCGGGGCCGGCGGUACAGCUCUCCGCAACAACCUCAAUUACACGACAAAGAAACCCGGUAACAUAUGCUGCUAGGUGAAUAUAUAUUUAUAUAAUAAAUCCGUAAGUUAAUAAAGUAAAUAGGAACCU
Molecule: long non-coding RNA, 1955 nt
Filed under: Apteryx rowi (Okarito brown kiwi)
Lineage: Eukaryota; Metazoa; Chordata; Aves; Apterygiformes; Apterygidae
Description: lncRNA (ENSARWG00000010739.1)
Source: RNAcentral